GUAUUUUAACUGUACAAAGGUAGCAUAAUCAUUUGUCUCUUAAUUAGGGACUAGUAUGAAUGAUUGAACGAGAUAAUAACUGUCUCUUUAUAAAUUAUAGAAUUUUAUUUUUAAGUUAAAAAGCUUAAAUUUAUUUAAAAGACGAGAAGACCCUAUAGAGUUUUAUAAAUUUAUUAAUAAUUAAUAUUUAGUAAUUAUAAUUAUUUAUUAAAAAUUUAUUUUAUUGGGGUGAUAUAAAAAUUUAAUUAACUUUUUAUAAAUUAAAACAUUAAUAGUUGAAUUUAUGAUCCAAUAUUUAUUGAUUAAAAGAUUUAAUUACCUUAGGGAUAACAGCGUAAUUUUUUUAUAGAGUUCUUAUCGAAAAAAAAGAUUGCGACCUCAAUGUUGGAUUAAAAUUAAUUUUUGGCGUAGAAGUUAAAAUAUUAGGUCUGUUCGACCUUUAAAAUUUUACAUGAUCUGAGUUUAAAUCGGCGUGAGCCAGGUUGGUUUCUAUCUUUAAUAAAAUUAAAUAUUUUAGUACGAAAGGACCAAGUAUUUAUAAAAUUUAUUUUAUAAAUGAA
This 560-nucleotide ribosomal RNA is filed under the name Dissochaetus sp. IBE<ESP>:AF219. RNAcentral describes it as "16S ribosomal RNA". The stretch from base 326 to 484 matches the Rfam family "Bacterial large subunit ribosomal RNA", at positions 2473 to 2632 of the family's 2925-position model. Lineage: Eukaryota; Metazoa; Arthropoda; Insecta; Coleoptera; Leiodidae. The record is from RNAcentral.